GUAAGUAAAGUGGCGCACGGGUGAGUAGCGCGUGGGUAAUCUGCCCUGAAGUUGGGAAUAACACCUCGAAAGGGGUGCUAAUACCGAAUGAUAUCCCCGGGAUUCCGGUCCUGGAGAUCAAAGAUGGCUGAGGCUUGCAAGCCAUCGCUUUAGGAUGAGCCCGCGUACCAUUAGCUAGUUGGUGGGGUAACGGCCCACCAAGGCCAUGAUGGUUAGCUGGUCUGAGAGGAUGGCCAGCCACACUGGAACUGAGAUACGGUCCAGACUCCUACGGGAGGCAGCAGUGAGGAAUCUUGCGCAAUGGGGGAAACCCUGACGCAGCAACGCCGCGUGAGUGAUGAAGGCCUUCGGGUCGUAAAGCUCUGUCAGAUGGGAAGAAAGUUUCGGCGGUGAACAAUCGCCGGGAUUGACGGUACCGUCAGAGGAAGCACCGGCUAACUCCGUGCCAGCAGCCGCGGUAAUACGGAGGGUGCAAGCGUUGUUCGGAAUCAUUGGGCGUAAAGAGCGUGUAGGCGGUCGGGUAAGUCAGAUGUGAAAUCCCUUGGCUUAACCAAGGAAGUGCAUUUGAAACUGCCCGGCUUGAGUACGGGAGGGGGAAGUGGAAUUCCCGGUGUAGAGGUGAAAUUCGUAGAUAUCGGGAGGAACACCGGUGGCGAAGGCGGCUUCCUGGACCGAUACUGACGCUGAGACGCGAAAGCGUGGGGAGCAAACAGGAUUAGAUACCCUGGUAGUCCACGCCGUAAACUUUGGGCACUUGGUGUUGCGGGUAUUGACCCCUGCAGUGCCGAAGCUAACGCAUUAAGUGCCCCGCCUGGGGAGUACGGCCGCAAGGUUAAAACUCAAAGGAAUUGACGG
RNAcentral lists this ribosomal RNA (855 nucleotides) under uncultured delta proteobacterium. Its description in RNAcentral is "bacterial SSU rRNA". It matches the Rfam family "Bacterial small subunit ribosomal RNA", at positions 86 to 916 of the family's 1533-position model. The record is from RNAcentral. Lineage: Bacteria; Deltaproteobacteria.